Molecule: transfer RNA, 83 nt
Filed under: Desulfobulbus sp. Tol-SR
Lineage: Bacteria; Pseudomonadati; Thermodesulfobacteriota; Desulfobulbia; Desulfobulbales; Desulfobulbaceae
Also listed under: 2 other names
Description: tRNA-Leu
Rfam family: tRNA
About the family: Transfer RNA (tRNA) molecules are approximately 80 nucleotides in length. Their secondary structure includes four short double-helical elements and three loops (D, anti-codon, and T loops).
Source: RNAcentral
GCGAGGGUGGCGGAACUGGUAGACGCACCAGACUUAGGAUCUGGCGCCUUGGCGUGGGGGUUCGACUCCCCCCUCUCGCACCA